This is a long non-coding RNA of Polyodon spathula (Mississippi paddlefish), 539 nucleotides long. RefSeq lists it as uncharacterized. Lineage: Eukaryota; Metazoa; Chordata; Actinopteri; Acipenseriformes; Polyodontidae. The transcript is spliced from 3 exons. The record is from RefSeq and is a predicted model, not a curated record.
ACCACAUGUGUUGACUAUAAUCUACACAACUGCACCUGGGAAAAGAGGGAUUGUGCAAAUGACUUGUCCAGCCAGGGCUGUAGCACCAACAGCCCAUACUAUUAGGACUACUGCAACUGCUAGGGAACCUACAAAACCAACUCUCCCUCCCCCUGCUGUCUGCAAAGCCUCCAGCAUGACUGUAGAACUGCCUUCUGGGUCGCUUCAAGUUCUAUUAUUGACUCCGUCCAACAAAUGGGAAGAUAUUAAUGAUGCUACCAGUUACUACAGCUUGGUGCAGCGGGAAGGGCGGAACUACUUUACAACCCCCUACAGGGCUUUUGCUGUCCACAUACAGGAUGGAAAUUACGUCUUAACCUUACUCUACACAACCACUGCUGGUAAACGAGGGUAUGUGCACAUGAGAUGUCCCACAAAGGCCCCUACUUCCACUAGUAGGAAGCCAAGAAAGACUACUAGAACCAAUGCUGUGGAUUCAACCAGGAGAGCUAGAAGAAGUGCAAAAGAUGCAACCAGGACAACCCGCAGAGGCUCUGGGG